Mustela erminea (ermine) is the source of this 478-nucleotide long non-coding RNA. RefSeq lists it as uncharacterized. NCBI's taxonomy places the organism in Eukaryota, Metazoa, Chordata, Mammalia, Carnivora, Mustelidae. The transcript is spliced from 3 exons. The record is from RefSeq and is a predicted model, not a curated record.
CCUGCCACCCAGUUUCUAAGUCAGAUGUGGUCUGAGUGGGGCCGGUUUGCAGACCGUCUGGGAAAAAAAAACAACACAGCAACGACAACAACAAAACGCUCAAAGGACCUGAAAGCUCAUAACACAAAAGGCUCCAAGAAGGACAUGCCCCCCUGCCUCCUGGGGUAGCCGGAGCAGCGAGCGCAAGAGACCCAGCAGCCUGCACUUGAAGCAGAUCUCGGAAAUAACCUGCAUCGAUUUCACGGAAGCUCAUACUUUUGGAGAGAUUUGCAAUUCUGCAUUGUAAUCAGUCUCCAUUGAUUGUGUUUGCCUUAUACUGUUAGAAGAUCGCUACAGUUGCCUGUCAGCUCAGCCAAAAAGAACCGUGGCAGCAGACUCUGAACCAUGAAUGAAGCCGGUGCAAGAAGAGAAGCCGAUGCCCUGAAGGGAACAGCAGAAUGAAAAGAUAAGAGGAAUGUGGGUCCUUAAAUUACCAGCC